GACGAACGCUGGCGGCGUGCUUAACACAUGCAAGUCGAACGGAAAGGCCCUGCUUUUGUGGGGUGCUCGAGUGGCGAACGGGUGAGUAACACGUGAGUAACCUGCCCUUGACUUUGGGGUAACUUCAGGAAACUGGGGCUAAUACCGGAUAGGAGCUCCUGCUGCAUGGUGGGGGUUGGAAAGUUUCGGCGGUUGGGGAUGGACUCGCGGCUUAUCAGCUUGUUGGUGGGGUAGGGGCUUACCAAGGCUUUGACGGGUAGCCGGCCUGAGAGGGUGACCGGCCACAUUGGGACUGAGAUACGGCCCAGACUCCUACGGGAGGCAGCAGUGGGGAAUAUUGCACAAUGGGCGGAAGCCUGAUGCAGCAACGCCGCGUGCGGGAUGACGGCCUUCGGGUUGUAAACCGCUUUCGCCUGUGACGAAGCGUGAGUGACGGUAAUGGGUAAAGAAGCACCGGCUAACUACGUG
This 468-nucleotide ribosomal RNA is filed under the name uncultured bacterium. Its description in RNAcentral is "partial 16S ribosomal RNA". It matches the Rfam family "Bacterial small subunit ribosomal RNA", at positions 28 to 507 of the family's 1533-position model. The record is from RNAcentral.